Long non-coding RNA from Morus notabilis, 332 nucleotides. RefSeq lists it as uncharacterized. Lineage: Eukaryota; Viridiplantae; Streptophyta; Magnoliopsida; Rosales; Moraceae. The record is from RefSeq and is a predicted model, not a curated record. The transcript has 3 exons.
UUAAAGGAAUCAAUCUCCCGUAGAAACAGUUUCCUCGGCUAUCCUAAACAGGGAGGCGGGACAAGUUACCAGCCAAUAAAAGAGACCACAGACAGGGGAUUGGCCUCCAUUUCAUGAUAUGGAAGCUACAAGUAGUCCUUUUCCAGGUGAUUUGAUUCCAAAAUGAAUAGCCAAAGAAAAUCUCAAGGAAACACGUACAAUCCACCUGCACUAAGUACGGACAAAAAAAGAAUGGAAGGGUGUUUACUCUUCUAUUUACAUGUUCGUCUUUUCCGAGUUGAAAUUCGCCACUUUACACGAUCUUCUCAACCAUGUUAUCCUUCUUUUAAGAU